UUGUAUAUGCUCAAAUUGUUAUAGUGUGCCACCAGAAACGGCGUCGUGGGGGGGAACACAAACGAUACGUUGUUCAUGCUGGCGGAUGCUGACCCCGUGGUCUUGUUGCACAGAAAUUGUGGCGGUGAGCAGGGAACGAUGCCCGACCCGAUGGUGACGAACAUCUUCUCAUCCACGUCGAGAGGGACGGUGGGAUCCCCCGGCCUAACGAGAGCGGUCAGGUUGGUGUAGAAUCGGUGGGCGGUCGGGGUGUCGUAGAGGCCCGGCAAGGCCGGCAUCACGGGGGCAGAAGAACUGUUGACGGACGCGUACUUGACGAUGCCGGUGGUGGUGCUGAGGUCGACGGGUGGGCCUUCAGGACCUGCGCUGAUGUAGGGGCGGGCGGCCAUGUAGUAGUUGCCCGGGGCGGCGUUGGCGACCAUGAGAGCGUCCACCGUCUGGCCGGGGGCGAUGACCACCACGUCGGUCUCGUAAGGCUUGGUGUAGGUGGCGUCCACGGCGACAACCGUGAAGUUGUGCCCGG
Molecule: long non-coding RNA, 523 nt
Filed under: Musa acuminata (dwarf banana)
Lineage: Eukaryota; Viridiplantae; Streptophyta; Magnoliopsida; Zingiberales; Musaceae
Description: long non-coding RNA (MACU_LNC003638)
Source: RNAcentral